This is a non-coding RNA of Myotis lucifugus (little brown bat), 75 nucleotides long. Lineage: Eukaryota; Metazoa; Chordata; Mammalia; Chiroptera; Vespertilionidae. The record is from Rfam.
GGCGGUUCUCGGGUGACGCACCCCAGAAUUGAGCUCUCUCCUCUCUGGUUCCGGGUAUGUCACCCAAGAACUGCA